ACCAAUAUUACUAUGCAGACCAUGGUCCAAAUCGGCCCAUCUAAAAACCCUAAAAACCCUAGACUAUAUAACCCAUUCCUCUCUCUCUCCCUAUCUUCCCCCUCCGUGACCCUCCCUCAGCCGCACAACUCUCUCUCUCUCUCUCUCCCUCUCACUCUCUCUCUCUCGCAUGCGCGAAUCGAGCGCAGGGGCAUGGCGCCU
This 201-nucleotide long non-coding RNA is filed under the name Sorghum bicolor (sorghum). RNAcentral's name for it is "long non-coding RNA (SBIC_LNC003573)". The record is from RNAcentral. Lineage: Eukaryota; Viridiplantae; Streptophyta; Magnoliopsida; Poales; Poaceae.